GGACAUUACCGAGUUAUACAACUCAUCAACCCUGUGAACAUACCUAAAACGUUGCUUCGGCGGGAACAGACGGCCCUGUAACAACGGGCCGCCCCCGCCAGAGGACCCCUAACUCUGUUUUUAUAAUGUUUUUCUGAGUAAACAAGCAAAUAAAUUAAAACUUUCAACAACGGAUCUCUUGGCUCUGGCAUCGAUGAAGAACGCAGCGAAAUGCGAUAAGUAAUGUGAAUUGCAGAAUUCAGUGAAUCAUCGAAUCUUUGAACGCACAUUGCGCCCGCCAGUAUUCUGGCGGGCAUGCCUGUUCGAGCGUCAUUACAACCCUCAGGCCCCCGGGCCUGGCGUUGGGGAUCGGCAGAAGCCCCCUGUGGGCACACGCCGUCCCUCAAAUACAGUGGCGGUCCCGCCGCAGCUUCCAUUGCGUAGUAGCUAACACCUCGCAACUGGAGAGCGGCGCGGCCAUGCCGUAAAACACCCAACUUCUGAAUGUUGACCUCGAAUCAGGUAGGAAUACCCGCUGAACUUAAGCAUAUCAAUAAGCGGAGGGAAAAAAA
RNAcentral lists this ribosomal RNA (551 nucleotides) under Fusarium sp. CPK3511. RNAcentral describes it as "eukaryotic LSU rRNA". The stretch from base 159 to 312 matches the Rfam family "5.8S ribosomal RNA". Lineage: Eukaryota; Fungi; Ascomycota; Sordariomycetes; Hypocreales; Nectriaceae. The record is from RNAcentral.